GACGAACGCUGGCGGCGUGCUUAACACAUGCAAGUCGAACGGAAAGGCCCUGCUUGCAGGGUACUCGAGUGGCGAACGGGUGAGUAACACGUGGGUGAUCUGCCCUGCACUUCGGGAUAAGCCUGGGAAACUGGGUCUAAUACCGGAUAGGAGCCAUCUUUAGUGUGAUGGUUGGAAAGUUUUUUCGGUGUAGGAUGAGCUCGCGGCCUAUCAGCUUGUUGGUGGGGUAAUGGCCUACCAAGGCGGCGACGGGUAGCCGGCCUGGGAGGGUGGACGGCCACAUUGGGGCUGAGAUACGGCCCAGACUCCUACGGGAGGCAGCAGUGGGGAAUAUUGCACAAUGGGCGCAAGCCUGAUGCAGCGACGCCGCGUGGGGGAUGACGGCCUUCGGGUUGUAAACUCCUUUCGCUAGGGACGAAGCUUUUUGUGACGGUACCUAGAUAAGAAGCACCGGCUAACUACGUG
This 465-nucleotide ribosomal RNA is filed under the name uncultured bacterium. RNAcentral describes it as "partial 16S ribosomal RNA". It matches the Rfam family "Bacterial small subunit ribosomal RNA", at positions 28 to 507 of the family's 1533-position model. The record is from RNAcentral.